This 76-nucleotide transfer RNA is filed under the name Deltaproteobacteria bacterium. RNAcentral's name for it is "tRNA-Met". It matches the Rfam family "tRNA". From Rfam's summary of the family: Transfer RNA (tRNA) molecules are approximately 80 nucleotides in length. Their secondary structure includes four short double-helical elements and three loops (D, anti-codon, and T loops). Further hydrogen bonds mediate the characteristic L-shaped molecular structure. tRNAs have two regions of fundamental functional importance: the anti-codon, which is responsible for specific mRNA codon recognition, and the 3' end, to which the tRNAs corresponding amino acid is attached (by aminoacyl-tRNA synthetases). tRNAs cope with the degeneracy of the genetic code in two manners: having more than one tRNA (with a specific anti-codon) for a particular amino acid; and 'wobble' base-pairing, i.e. permitting non-standard base-pairing at the 3rd anti-codon position. The record is from RNAcentral. Lineage: Bacteria; Pseudomonadati; Myxococcota; Myxococcia.
GGGCCCAUAGCUCAGCUGGAAGAGCCGCCGGCUCAUAACCGGAAGGUCCCAGGUUCGAGGCCUGGUGGGCCCACGA